UACGAGUGGUGCAAGCGUUAUUCGGAAUCAUUGGGCGUAAAGGGUGUGUAGGUGACAAAUUAAGUCUGUUGUUAAAUUUCCCGGCCUAACCGGGACAAUGCGGUGGAAACUGAUUUGAUAGAGGUUGGAAGAGAGAAGUGGAAUUCUUGGAGUAGCGGUAAAAUGCGUAGAUAUCAAGAGGAACACCGAUGGCGAAGGCAGCUUCUUGGUCCAUACCUGACACUGAGACACGAAAGCGUGGGGAGCAAACAGG
This 253-nucleotide ribosomal RNA is filed under the name uncultured bacterium. RNAcentral's name for it is "partial 16S ribosomal RNA". It matches the Rfam family "Bacterial small subunit ribosomal RNA", at positions 524 to 776 of the family's 1533-position model. The record is from RNAcentral.